GCCCAGGUGGCGGAAUUGGUAGACGCGCGGCGUUCAGGUCGCCGUGUCCUUGGUGAUGUGCGAGUUCGAGUCUCGCCCUGGGCACCA
This 87-nucleotide transfer RNA is filed under the name Rhodospirillaceae bacterium. RNAcentral describes it as "tRNA-Leu". It matches the Rfam family "tRNA". Rfam says of the family: Transfer RNA (tRNA) molecules are approximately 80 nucleotides in length. Their secondary structure includes four short double-helical elements and three loops (D, anti-codon, and T loops). Further hydrogen bonds mediate the characteristic L-shaped molecular structure. tRNAs have two regions of fundamental functional importance: the anti-codon, which is responsible for specific mRNA codon recognition, and the 3' end, to which the tRNAs corresponding amino acid is attached (by aminoacyl-tRNA synthetases). tRNAs cope with the degeneracy of the genetic code in two manners: having more than one tRNA (with a specific anti-codon) for a particular amino acid; and 'wobble' base-pairing, i.e. permitting non-standard base-pairing at the 3rd anti-codon position. The record is from RNAcentral. Lineage: Bacteria; Pseudomonadati; Pseudomonadota; Alphaproteobacteria; Rhodospirillales; Rhodospirillaceae.